This 6930-nucleotide long non-coding RNA is filed under the name Musa acuminata (dwarf banana). RNAcentral's name for it is "long non-coding RNA (MACU_LNC003597)". Lineage: Eukaryota; Viridiplantae; Streptophyta; Magnoliopsida; Zingiberales; Musaceae. The record is from RNAcentral.
CCUCUCCCAUGCCGCCACCUUCGAGAUCGUGAACCGAUGCUCUUACACAGUGUGGGCCGCGGCCGUGCCUGGCGGCGGACGCCAGCUCAACCAGGGGCAGUCGUGGACCAUCAACGUGAACGCGGGAACCACCGGCGGCCGCAUCUGGGGCCGCACCGGCUGCUCCUUCGACGGGAGCGGACGCGGGCGGUGCCAGACGGGCGACUGCGGCGGCGUGCUGUCAUGCACGGCGUACGGCAGCCCGCCCAACACCCUGGCGGAGUUCGCGCUCAACCAGUUCAACAACCUCGACUUCUUCGACAUCUCCCUGGUCGACGGCUUCAACGUGCCAAUGGACUUCAGCCCCACGUCAGGCGGCUGCCGCGGCAUCCGGUGCGCGGCGGACAUCAACGGGCAGUGCCCCGGGGCGCUGAAGGCGCCGGGCGGCUGCAACAACCCCUGCACCGUGUUCAAGACGGACCAGUACUGUUGCAACUCCGGCAGCUGCAGCCCGACCGACUACUCCCGGUUCUUCAAGAGAAACUGCCCCGACGCCUACAGCUAUCCCAAGGACGAUCAGACGAGCACCUUCACCUGCCCCGGCGGCACCAACUACAGGGUUGUCUUCUGCCCUUGAGAUCACUGACGCCACUAAUAAGCCGCCCUCGUGCAGGCAACCACGCAUAUAGAUAUAUAUACUAGUCUCCUACAAUACAAAUAAGAUGUCAAGAGUGAUGGAAGGUAUUAGCCUUCUCUUGGGCUAAUACUGUUGACUGAUGUAAUAGAAGUGGUGCAACCAACUAAUAAGAUGCAUAAUAUCAUCACAGCAUGAGUGCUUUUCCAUUGAUGUUUGAAUCAUUUUGUGAGAGCAAUCAGCUUAUGCAAUCAGCAAAAAGAAUAAUUAAACCAUUUCUAUUUAUGUCUUGUUGGCUUAAAACAUGAAUUGAUUUUGAAACAUAAUGAACCCUACAUAUAUAACUUCAUAAAAGAUAUCUCAAGGACCAUACAUUAUACAUACAUAUAUACAUAUAUAUACAUAUAUAUACACAUAUAUAUAUACAUAUAUAUACACAUAUAUAUACAUAUAUAUAUAUAUACAUAUACAUAUAUAUAUAUAUAUNNNNNNNNNNNNNNNNNNNNUAUGUAUAUAUAUAUAUGUAUAUAUAUAUAUAUCAUUUAGGAUGAUGAGUCAUCGCCUAUCCAAUUUGGACCUCUGCCAUUCUCCGUAGAAACUUUGCGUAGCCAUUUUCCAAUACAAUUGCGCGUUGACCAGAGUGCGUCCAUGUGAUCCUCCCCGGUAAGUUUGGUGCCCGAAAUUAUCCGGCAAGUAUGGCUUUAAAUAUUGGAAUUAGUUGCUCUUUGUUUUACGUAGGCCGAUCAAGAUGAACAGAGAGAAUGAUGCUGACUAAUUGAGCCCUGACCAAUCGAGGGCUUCAGGACUCGAGCCCCGACGCGCCCUCGGGAAGCUGCCGCGGGAGGCGGACAUCGAUGGGCAGUGCCCGCAGGUGUUGAGGGCGCCGCGGCGGGUGCACCGCUCGACCGUGUCCAAGGCGGACCGGUACUGCUGCAGCUCCUGCAACUGUGCGUCAAGCGGCUACUUCAGCUUCUUGAGGAGGAACUGCACCGAUGGCUAUAUCUUCCCACAACCUUACGGCCUGGCUUCCACCACUAGUUUCUACGGUAGUCUUCCUCCUCCAAGAGUCGAAUUCAGCUUCCUACAAGAUUAUAAUGAUGGUUUGUAUCAAUUAGUUGUUAAAUUGUAUUUUGGAACCUAAUACAUAUUUUAAAUAUAAAUUCAUAUUUAAAGUUUCUUUAACAUCACAUUUGUCAUGAAUAUAGUGUCAGUAAAUGCUUAAAUUCUGAAACUAUCUUAGAAUAAUUAUAACAUCUCGAGUAAUCUCACAUAAAAAAUGAAUAAGAUUAAAAUUAACUUAUGAUAGUAUAUUACUAUCAAUAUUAAUUUGAAUAUUUUGAUUGCUUGGAUUCAAGAAAAUUGAUAAGUCAAUUAGUUAAUCAAUUGUGACAUUCGAUAUCAAAUUAGUAUUAGGAUAUAGUAUAAUCAAAUUACUAUUAGCGUAUCGUGAGUGAGCUUCGUACUCGUUCAUUGUGAAGUCAUCUUGGGCUAUGUCUUACAUGCCGCGCUAUAUUGAGUCUUUGACAAUGAUUAAUUUUUUUUUUAUAGUUCACACAUAAAAAUAGAUUUUGAACUAUUUAAUUUUAAAAAUCAUAUUAUUUAUUAUAAAAUAUAUUUAUUAAAAUUUAAUUAACUAAUAAAAUUAUUAACUUAUUCACAUAAUUAAGAAAAUCAAUUUUAAUCAUUUUCUUAGCCAUACUAUACAAACAAAAUCACAAUGUAUAUAUUUUUCUUAAAUUUUUAUCUUAAAUGCAUGUUGCUAAUUAUAAUACUUGAUUUAUAUUUAGAUUUAUAUGAUAGUUGAUUAAAAAUAUUAUUUCUUCUCUUAUGUAAUUUUAUCUUUUUAAUAAUCUAUUGUUUAUUAUAUUUUAAUGACUCAAUGCUUGGGAUUAGAUGUUUUUUACUAUAAUUUCAUAAUGCUAUAAUUUAGAAUUGAAGAAAUUGAUUAGGAUUUGGGUUAUAUCUCACACGUACAAUCUUAGAGUUUGAGUUGGGUUUUAAUAAGGAUCAUUUAUUUUUUAUAUAAUAUUUAUUUCCUAUGAUUCACACAUAAAAAUAAAAUUUAAAUUAUUUACUUUCUAAAAAUUGCAUCACUCGUUGAGAAACGAAUCAAUUAAUAAUUUAAUUAAUUUAGUAAUCAUAUUACAUAAAUAAAAUCAUAAUGUGUAGUAUUUUAAAAUUUUUUAUCUUACAUGCAUGAUGCACGAUGAUAAUUAUAAUCCUUGGUUUCUAUUAUAUUUAUAUAGUAAUUUAUUAAAAAUAUUAUUUUCUCACUAAUGUAAUUUUAUUUUAAAAUUUAUUACUAUUUAUUAUGUUUUUAAUGACUCAAUACUAAUGAUCAGAUAUUCUAAUUAGUAGUCAUAUUAGUAAUCAUUAAGAAAUUUAAUUUAAAUUAUUUCAGUAAUAAUAUUACAUAAAUAAAAUCAUAAUGUGUAGUAUUUUUAAAAUUGUUAUCUUACAUGCAUGAUGCAUGAUGAUAAUUAUAAUACUUGGUUUCUAUUAGAUUUAUAUAAUAAUUUAUUAAAAUAUUAUUUUCUCACUUAUGUAAUUUUAGUUUUAAAAUUUAUUACUAUUUAUUAUGUUUUUAGUGACUCAAUACUAAUGAUCAGAUAUUCUAAUUAUAUUUUUUAUAUUUUAAAAUUAAGAGAAUUGAUUAAGAUUUAAGUUGAAAUCAACAAACAAUUAGAGCUAACCCAUAGGCUAGCCACAACUCGUAGAUUAAGCUCAGCAAGCAAGUCAACCCAUAGCCUAUAGGACUCCAAUAUGAUCAGUUAUGUAAUGUACAGACCAAGUCAGAUUUCAUAAACUUAGAUAGAUUCAAGGUAAUUCUAAACUUAUUUAGUCUAUUCAUGUCUAUCUAAUCUAAAUCGAACUCAAUCUAGUCCAAAGUAUACAAGUCUAAGAUGAUUCUAGACUGAUUAAAUGAGAAUUAAAAAUCGAUUUUAUUAUACUAGAGUUAAAUCGAGUUCAAUUGAUUUUAAUUAAACUCGUUUAGAUCGAUUAAGUUCUAGUUAAAUCAGGUUCAAUUAGACCGAUUGAGUUAAGUUAGAUAAAACCUAGGGAUAUGAGUUAUAAAUAAUAUUCAUCAAAUUUCUUCAAUCUAAUUUAUGCUAAAAUAGUUCAAUAAUAAAAAAUAAUAACUGCAAUAAUUAUUGAAUGUUAAUCAGUAUAAUGAAAAAUUCAUAUAAUAACUAUAAUUAUGAUAAGUCAUGAAUUAUAUUUUUAUAUAAUUUUCAAACAUAUUAUAUAAAUAAUCAAAUAAAUAUCCAAGAAAAAUAAUUAGAUUUUUAUUUAUCACAUGCAAAAUUUUAUCAAUAUGACAAAUAAGAAAAUUAUUAAAGAAAAAUCAUAAUUUAUAUUUUUAAAAUUUUGUAUGAACCCUUAUACCAAUCAACCCUAUUUAAUUAGGUAAGCCCAUAAUUGGACUACCUAAAUUGGGCUAACAAUUUGCCUAAUUAGACCCAUUAAGAUUAAAGUUGAUCAAAAUAAAAAAAAGAUCAAAAAUAACUUUUUUUUAAUUUGAUCAAAAACUUAAUUGGUCGAAUUUAAAUCCAACCAAAUAGUUAAAAUAUAGUAAUGAUUAAGCUCGUUUAAAAGAUUUGAUUAAAAUAAAUCAAAUUAAUAAAUUUUAUAAUUGAGGGCAUAUCUCAAAAUAUUUUAAUUCAAAAGGGUAAAACUAUAAUUUUACUGGGAUAUGUAGAGAAAAUAUCUAAUUUCUGAAGAAUAUAAUUAUCAAAAGGACACAAGUUGAAAUUAAAAGACUUUAUAAGAAUAAAUUUAUAAUUUUAAAAAUAAAUCCUAAUCUUUCACCCAGAAAGGCUCUCUCGCAUUUGUCAUUGGUUCCACCAUGCCCACACGCAAAAGUCAACACCGCAGUGUUCGCCCACCACCUGCAUGGACAACGAGGCAGUUGUCCUUAUGCAUUCAAACGAUAACCUCAUCGGUCGUCGCGUUGUGCCAUGCUCAUGAGUGGCUAUUAUCAUCGUGCGCUUGACUAUAACACUUCAAAAACAAUAUGUAUGUCACUGACCGGAAGCUAUCGCGUAGUUACGCACACAUGCCGAUCGAUAACCCCCAGAAUCACUUUGAUGUGUGACUGUGCUCGCUUGUCUUGCUACAUAGUCGUUGGGAACAAUGGCUUUCAGUGUCCAAUCGAUGUUGACCAUGGCCAACAAGCACUACCACAGUGGUAUUACUGUAACCAUUGUACGUAGUGAAGCUAUAUAGCCACUAUAGGUGCAUGCGCACAUAGUGGCACUGUUACAAUCAUCGCACUUAGUAUUAUACCCCAUGGUGCUUCCAUUAGGUACGCAAUUGCUACUCGCGAUUGAACUAAUGACAAUCAAAAGUUGUCGCUCUUAACCAUAUUGUUAUCGACAAUAAGCUAGUCACAGUGAUCCAUUGAUCAAGUACGAGAAAAUUCAUAUCUCCCACAAAUAGGUGAUAAGAUCGAUUAAAUAGAAAAAUAGAUCAAUAAUAUAUAUGAAUCAUUCAUACAUCGUAAAUAAAAAAUUGAAUAACACUUUUUCAUAAGCCAAAGAUGCUAACAAAUAUAUCUAAAAUAAUUUAUUUUACAAACAUGACUCUGAUAUCAAUUGUAAGUAUAAAAACCAUCCUUAUGCUAUUGUUAUGCAGAAAACUUUAACACCAAAAUCUAAAAUCAAAUAAUAAUAGAUAAGAUUCAUGAUACGUACAUUUUGAUGCUAGUUAAAAAAGCUCUUAUAUGAUCUAUAGGUACACCAUCGUUGGAUCUGAAAGUUAUAGUAAUAUCGAUCUAUAAGAAGAAUUAGACUCAUCGUUUUCUCAUUUUCUAUCCUUUAUAGGACCACUACAAUGGAUUUAGAGACUAAGGGGAGAUGAGAGAAGAUUUAUAAUUUCUCACUGACUUAUUCACAAAAAUUUAUAAUUUUUUAAUAAUAUUUUGUAAACACGUAUCGUUUUUAUCUUCUUAUAGUAUUUCUAGGUGAGAAUAGAAAAUCUAUGAUAAGUAAUGAAUAGGGUCUUUCUAAUCAAAAUCUAUCUCUUAACGAAUUUUAUGAUAAUUUAAUUUUUUAUCAAUCUAUAAUCAUAAUUAAAAUUUAAUCAUAUCUAUAAUAUAUCUUAAAUAAAUAAUUAGUGAUAUAUAAUCUGACACCUCUCUCUUCUCUCCCUUAUAAAUUCCCCACCUCUCCACCCCUCGGAUCUGCACAACACAGAGCACGAAGCCUAAGACUCGCCGUUAGAUGGCUUCGUCAAGCAUUCUCUCCCUCUCCUUCUUCUCCCUUCUUGUCACCCUCUCCCAUGCCGCCAACUUCGAGAUCGUGAACCGAUGCUCUUACACAGUGUGGGCCGCGGCCGUGCCCGGCGGCGGACGCCAGCUCAACCAGGGGCAGUCGUGGACCAUCAACGUGAAAGCGGGAACGACCGGCGGCCGCAUCUGGGGCCGCACAGGCUGCUCCUUCGACGGGAGCGGCCACGGGCGGUGCCAGACGGGCGACUGCGGCGGGUUGCUGGCGUGCACGGCGUACGGUAGCCCGCCCAACACCCUGGCGGAGUUCGCGCUCAACCAGUACAGCAACCAAGACUACGUGGACAUCUCCCUGGUCGACGGCUUCAACGUGCCUAUGGACUUCAGCCCCACGUCGGGCGGCUGCCGCGGCAUGCGGUGCACGGCGGACAUCAACAAGAAGUGCCCCACGGCACUGAAGGCGCCGGGCGGCUGCAACAACCCCUGCACCGUGUUCAAGACGGACCAGUACUGCUGCAACUCCGGCAGCUGCCAGCCGACCGAGUACUCCAAGUUCUUCAAGAGCAACUGCCCCGACGCCUACAGCUAUCCGAAGGACGAUCCGACGAGCCUCGUCGCCUGCCCCGGCGGCACCAACUACAGGGUUGUCUUCUGCCCUUGAGAUCACCGACGCCACUAAUAAGCCUCCCUCGUGUAGGCAACCACGCAGAUAUAUAUAUAUAUAUAUAUNNNNNNNNNNNNNNNNNNNNCCCGACGCCUACAGCUAUACCGAAGGACGAUCCGACGAGCCUCGUCGCCUGCCCCGGCGGCACCAACUACAGGGUUGUCUUCUGCCCUUGAGAUCACCGACGCCACUAAUAAGCCUCCCUCGUGUAGGCAACCACGCAGAUAUAUAUAUAUAUAUAUAUAGCAGUCUCCUACAACACAAAUAAGAUGUCAAGAGUGAUGGAAGGUAUUAGCCUUCUCUUGGGCUAAUACUGUUGACUGAUGUAAUAGAAGUGGUGCAACCAACUAAUACGAUGCAUAAUUAUCACAGCAUGAGUGCUUUUCCAUUGAUGUUUAAAUCAUUUUGUGAGAGCAAUCAGAUAAA